GGAAUUCGAUUCAGGCCUAACACAUGCAAGUCGAGGGGUAACAAGAUAGAUAGCAAUAUUAAUUAAGCUAGACCAAAGCACGGGUGCGUAACACGUAUGCAAUCUACCUUAUACAGGGGCAUAACUUCGAGAAAUCAAUGCUAAUUCCCCAUAACACUUUGAUGUGGCAUCACAUUACAGUUAAAGCUCAGGCGGUAUAAGAUGAGCAUGCGUCCAAUUAGCUAGUAGGCGAGGUAACGGCUCACCUAGGCUACGAUUGGUAGGGGUUCUGAGAAAAAGAUCCCCCACACUUGUUGGGAGACACGGACCAGACUCCUACGGGAGGCAGCAGUGAGGAAUAUUGCGCAAUGGACGAAAGUC
Molecule: ribosomal RNA, 360 nt
Filed under: uncultured bacterium
Lineage: Bacteria
Description: bacterial SSU rRNA
Rfam family: Bacterial small subunit ribosomal RNA
Source: RNAcentral